Molecule: ribosomal RNA, 253 nt
Filed under: uncultured bacterium
Lineage: Bacteria
Description: partial 16S ribosomal RNA
Rfam family: Bacterial small subunit ribosomal RNA
Source: RNAcentral
UACAGAGGUCUCAAGCGUUGUUCGGAUUCAUUGGGCGUAAAGGGUGCGUAGGCGGCGCGGUAAGUCGGGUGUGAAAUCUCGGGGCUUAACUCCGAAACUGCAUUCGAUACUACCGUGCUUGAGGACUGGAGAGGAGACUGGAAUUUACGGUGUAGCGGUGAAAUGCGUAGAUAUCGUAAGGAAGACCAGUGGCGAAGGCGGGUCUCUGGACAGUUCCUGACGCUGAGGCACGAAAGCCAGGGGAGCAAACGGG